RNAcentral lists this long non-coding RNA (442 nucleotides) under Heterocephalus glaber (naked mole-rat). Its description in RNAcentral is "lncRNA (ENSHGLG00100039635.1)". The record is from RNAcentral. Lineage: Eukaryota; Metazoa; Chordata; Mammalia; Rodentia; Bathyergidae.
CCGCCAGAGUGGGAGACAGGUCUGUAGUUCCGACAAGGUCCGCUCCAGUGUCGACGCGGUGGACACGGCUGCGGGGGCCAGGGGACAACAGCUGCUUUAAAGCCGGGAGCAACCCACAGGUGGCCUGUCAGGGAAACGGACGUCCGUGACGUCAUCCUGAAGGUCAAACAGGAGAAUAAGCUUAUCUGUGAAGAGAUACACAAGCGGCAGACUGGAAGGGAGAUUCCACCGUAUUUGUAGUAGUUACAGAAAAUUUCAAACAUAAGCAAAGCCAAUGCACUAAAAGCAGUCAAAAAACAAUAAACACAAAAAAGAGAUGAUAUUUGCGUGGAGACCCGAAUAAUCUGAAGGAGGCUUAUGCAAGAAAAUGUGGUGGGAGUCUGUGCGGAAAAGAUGAGGCAAAGGCUGGAGGGAUCCAAGAGCGUGUAAGAGACUGAAUGAG